UACGGAGGAUGCAAGCGUUAUCCGGAUUCAUUGGGUUUAAAGGGUGCGUAGGCGGACUAUUAAGUCAGUGGUGAAAGCCUGCAGCUUAACUGCAGAACUGCCAUUGAUACUGAUAGUCUUGAGUUUGGUUAAGGUAGGCGGAAUAUGUAAUGUAAGCGGUGAAAUGCUUAGAUAUUACACAGAACACCAAUUGCGAAGGCAGCUUACUAAUCCAUCAUUGACGCUGAGGCACGAAAGCGUGGGGAUCAAACAGGA
RNAcentral lists this ribosomal RNA (255 nucleotides) under uncultured prokaryote. Its description in RNAcentral is "partial 16S ribosomal RNA". It matches the Rfam family "Bacterial small subunit ribosomal RNA", at positions 524 to 777 of the family's 1533-position model. The record is from RNAcentral.